Molecule: ribosomal RNA, 252 nt
Filed under: uncultured Bacteroidales bacterium
Lineage: Bacteria; Pseudomonadati; Bacteroidota; Bacteroidia; Bacteroidales
Description: partial 16S ribosomal RNA
Rfam family: Bacterial small subunit ribosomal RNA
Source: RNAcentral
UACGGAGGAUGCGAGCGUUAUCCGGAUUUAUUGGGUUUAAAGGGUGCGUAGGCGGGAUGCCAAGUCAGCGGUAAAAAUGCGGUGCUCAACGCCGUCGAGCCGUUGAAACUGGCGUUCUUGAGUGGGCGAGAAGUAUGCGGAAUGCGUGGUGUAGCGGUGAAAUGCAUAGAUAUCACGAAGAACUCCGAUUGCGAAGGCAGCUUACCAGUCUGCGACUGACGCUCAGGCACGAAAGUGUGGGUAUCGAACAGG